UACGAAGGGGGCUAGCGUUGCUCGGAAUCACUGGGCGUAAAGCGUGCGCAGGCGGUUGUGCAAGACAGAUGUGAAAUCCCCGGGCUCAACCUGGGAAUUGCAUUUGUGACUGCACGGCUAGAGUGUGUCAGAGGGGGGUAGAAUUCCCCGUGUAGCAGUGAAAUGCGUAGAGAUGUGGAGGAAUACCGAUGGCGAAGGCAGCCCCCUGGGAUAACACUGACGCUCAUGCACGAAAGCGUGGGGAGCAAACAGG
Molecule: ribosomal RNA, 253 nt
Filed under: uncultured bacterium
Lineage: Bacteria
Description: partial 16S ribosomal RNA
Rfam family: Bacterial small subunit ribosomal RNA
Source: RNAcentral